CAACAUUCAUGGCAUGCUUCGCCCUUUUAGAAGGGUGAAUUGAGAAAUCAAGAAUUAUUCCGAACCCUAUCAUUCCCCCUAGUUGGAAAUGGUCUAAGAAUUUCAUUUUGGUAUGAUCGAUGGAUGGGCGAUCUACCACUGAAAGAAAAGUUUCUGAUCCUUUUUUCGAUGGCUAUGAAUCCUAGAACCUCUCUCAACAGCAAGACCUCCUCACAAAGUUUU
RNAcentral lists this long non-coding RNA (222 nucleotides) under Elaeis guineensis (African oil palm). RNAcentral describes it as "long non-coding RNA (EGUI_LNC014373)". Lineage: Eukaryota; Viridiplantae; Streptophyta; Magnoliopsida; Arecales; Arecaceae. The record is from RNAcentral.